CUCGGGUCGCCCCGCCCCCAGACCCAAACCACGCGAGGUCUCGAGGGUCCCGGGACGCGGCUUCAGAAAGAGGAAGCCCGGGAAACCGGUUUCCGCGUUGCAGCUGCUAUCCAGCGCUCCCUGGCCGGUCCCAGAACCGAGACCUGGGCGCUAGGUGCAGCUGCUCUGCGGUGCCCGCUGCUGUGUGGGCGCCUGUACGUCAGUCAGGGCAGGCGGCGCCGGGAGCGGACCGAGGGCUGCCCGGCGGAAGGGCUCUGUCCGCGGCUGCGGGCCUUAAGAACGUGCGGGCCGCCUCCGUUGUGGGCCUCCCGGAUCGCUCCAUCUGCGGCGCCCGGCCCCAGGUCCCAGCUGUGACGGGCCCACGUGGCAGUCUCGCAAGGUUCGCUUUCUGCCGUACCAAGCAGGAAUUUCAGCACCCGAAAAUCUCCUACAUGGGCUAGGCAGAUUCUUCACCAUCUGAGCCACCAGGGAAGCCCAGAGCUCCCUCAGCCCUCCUGCCUGCCAUGUGAGGACACAAAGAAGAUGGCAGUCUGAAUCCAGAACUGCACCUCAUUUGCUGUGAGCAUCCGAGCGUGGCAGCCGCCCUGAAGUUCAUCAUCAGAUCCUACUCACCCAGGGAUUCAUCUAUAAUGGUCCCUGGAAAGGCUUUUAUAAUUUGCAUUUUUCAAUUGUAUCAAAGUCACAUGUGUCAUGAUGAAUAAAAGCCAAAUCUUGCUAUAGAACUGAAACCAUCAACAGUUCCUUCACCCAUCCUUCCUUAUCCCUGACCCACUCUCCUCACUACUCCUUUAAAAAUGCUUAGGACGCUCAUUUCUUUUUCUAAAGUCACAGGUUAACUGCUGUGUCACAUGCGGACACUCUUCUCCUCUUCGAACAGCAGAUGUGGAGAUGGUUCACUUACCUCACUGCUCCUGCUCCCCUGCGUUUACCCUUUUGCAUUUAUGUCUCCUACUACCAUUUCCGUCUUUAGGACCAUCUGUGUCAGCCCUCGUCUCCUGUUGCAGCCUCGUACUCCCUUCCACUGACCCUUUACCUCUUCCCUUCCCAC
Long non-coding RNA from Bos taurus (domestic cattle), 1048 nucleotides. The record is from Ensembl. Lineage: Eukaryota; Metazoa; Chordata; Mammalia; Artiodactyla; Bovidae.